Biomphalaria glabrata is the source of this 4578-nucleotide long non-coding RNA. RefSeq lists it as uncharacterized. The transcript is spliced from 2 exons. NCBI's taxonomy places the organism in Eukaryota, Metazoa, Mollusca, Gastropoda, Planorbidae. The record is from RefSeq and is a predicted model, not a curated record.
UCAUUUCAUUUAGAUGACUUUCAUUUCAUUUAGAUGACUUUCAUUUCAUUUAGCGUUAUCUUGCAUUUUUCACGGCUGAAACGCAUUCUCCUGACAUCUACAGCUUAUUACAUAUUAGUGUGGUUCGGGGCGAAGCCCCGGCGCCAAAAGCGUUAUCUUGCAUUUUUCACGGCUGAAAUGCAUUCUCCUGACAUCUACAGCUUAUUACUUAUUAGUGGGUUCGCGGCGAAGCCCCGACGCUAAAAGCGUUUUUUGGCAUUCUUCACAGCAGUACGGUAACGCAUUCUCCUGACCUACAGCUCAUUAUUCAUUCUAUUAUAAGCUAAUAUGAAUUUAUAGUCCCUUAAUACAUAGCAAAUACAACCGAUUUGUUCUUUGAAAAGAUAAGUUACGUAACAUAUUUAGAUUAAGGCUUUGAGGACCGCCGCCGAAAAAAAACAUUCGAUUAAUAAUAUUCAAUAAAAUGUAAGCAUAAAUUAUGAGUUAUAGUCCUAAAUUUAUUUCAGUAGAAAAUAUGAGAUAGAGUAAGGUUGGAAAAAGUCGACUAGGAAAAGAAUAUCUGGCUUUUGAACUCAUCUCAACCGUGACUGUUAUAUUGACAAAUUUCGUUUGAAUUAUAACUUUUCCAAAGCAAAGUCUUUCUUAAAAUAGUUAUGAUAAAUUCAUGUGAAAUUACACAAACUCUGUCUGGAAAGGGGAAGGGCGGUAAAAUGAAAACGAUUAAUUCUCGCUCCUUUUUAUAAUUUCUGCUAAUGAUUGCAUUUUGCAUAAAAGAAUAGAGGUUGGGCGACUCGAUAUAAGAAUUUACUUUAUAGCAUAUAUAAAUUAUAUUAGUGACAGAUUAGUGACAGAUUUUUUUAAUUUUGUAAUCUCUUACUAUAAUACAAAAAGUAAAAAGUAUUGGUUUGUCCGAUGAGGGGAAGGUGAUUGCAUGUAUCGUAUACAGUGUAGUAGAUGUGGACAUUCACCGAAUCAGGGGGGGGGGGGGGUUAAAUUUUUUUAAAAUCUAACGUUCAUUUGUUAUUAGAAGGAAAACAAAUCGCUCUGGAAGUUGUAUCAAGGGAGGUAAUGUCUUUUUUUUAAAGGUAUUUUUGAUGUUUUUUGUUUCAAUUCCUCUUUUCAGCUUGCAAUUCUUCAUCUGUCAAAAAACAAAAACAUCUUGAAAAUGGCUGUAACAAUUUUCCUAGAAAUUCGACAGUUGAUGUGUAUCUUUGAAAAAAUAAUUACUAGCUAAUUGGUCACACCUGAAAAACUGUAGUUUGACCGUUUUAAUUGUUAAAAGUAUAAUACAAAAAUAUUUGUCUCCAAGUCUGGAUAGGCCACAUCCUUUAUGAAUGCAGAGUUCUGCACGAAGGACGAUUGGGACAAAGUAUAGAUAGAGAGAAUGCUGGUUCAUGUACGACACAGAGGCUGUCCUUGUACGGGGACAAGGCAACCUUAAGACUCACUGCUCGCUUCCUCUCACGUGCUCUAAGGGAGUAACUCUCAAGCAUGUUUUCGUUGUCAAUGGGGUUUUUGACUCGGAUAGGCCUAAUCCUUACCUUGAAUAGGCGUUCGUCAUCGGGUAUCCCCACAUUUAGGCCCUAUUUAGUAAAGAUUUUCAUUAAUAAAUAAACUCUGGUUUGACCUUUAUUUUUGAAGUAUAAUCUAAUAAUUAAAUUAAUUGGUUUGGAUGUUGUGACAAUUUUAAUUUUGAACAUAACGUCAGCGGGUAUUUCUGCAUGUCUUCACUAAAUAGUGAAAUAAACAAUUUAGACCUUCAGGAAUAUUUUGUGCACCAUCUUCUAGGUCUGAAUCAUAGACUUAUAUCUACUACUAGACUGGAAACCGGAAAUCAAUUCUUAUCCGCGACUGAUCGAUCGUGAACAUUGUGUAGAAAGUUGGAUCAAGGCGUUGUUUUGUCAAGUAGUUCAAAGAAGUCAAGUUGUUGUUUUUUUCAACCCUAACCUAUGUAACAUAUAAUUUUAUUUUUUUAGAUCUAGAUCUAGUAAUUGAUUAUCAAAAAUACACAAAAAAUCACUAUUUAGUGUUGCAUUCAGUCUUUUGAUAAAGAAUAUUAUGUAUCUAAAAAUUGCUAAAUAAUAAUUAUGAGACGAGAGUACUCUUAUUUUUUGAUGUUCAUUUACUAGAUCUAGACCUCAAAGUUCUAAAUUAUAUUGUACUAACUGAAGAGAGACAAACUCAACGAGACAUCGAUGUUUAUUGACAGGACAUCACAAAUACAGGUAGAACAACAUGUCUUGUGCGAACCUUCUUUCUGCACUAGCCUGGAUGGCGGUGCGCUUGGCAGAGUUAUAACAUUGCCCCCUUCUUAGAGCUUUUCGUCCCGAAAAGAAACAGUGAAGUAGAGGUUAGACAAUUCAUGUAGAGGUCGAUCGGUGGGAGACACAGGCGGCAGGGAGCGUGUUCCCCACGAAGUCAUCCGCACUGUUUUCCUCUGGUGCCGCUUUCUCUUCCGCCAUUUGACCAGGCUGUUGUUGAGACGAUGACGUGGCCGUUUGACACACAACGAGACAGUGUUUUCCUCAGCACAGCCGUUGAUUGGAAACGCUGUCUCAGCAGACCCUCCCGACUGACGCCUCCCAAGGAGACUGCAGGCUCACAUGCAGCAACGUUGCAAACAAAGUCCAAUGUGCCGCAAUCACCCUCACCCAACAGUCUCACAUCCAGGAGAUAGGUUUCUUCAAGUUCAAGUUUCGAAUGUCUUCCUCUUGACAGCUCAGAUUUAGCCUGGGUUGAUUGACAUUCGUCUAUGCCAAUGUCGAUGAUGAUGGCAGAAGUACACAUGCCCUGUUUGUAGUUUUCUUGGCAUACACAUUCCCUGUGUGAUGCAUCGCACGUACAGCUAAUGCUAAACUUCUGGAUGCAGUUGUCGAGCUUCAAAUUUCCCUCGUAGGCACCGGCAGAUAGACAGAGGUCUUUAAAGUCCAUAGCAACAGGUUUGGACGCAGACCCAACGUUGUCUUCAUCUGUCCAGCUCAUUGGGGUACUAGGUACAACAGGAACAAACGCUUCAGGCACAUAACAGACCUCAGUUUCUUCAUUUGUCUCUUUCCUUUCAGUUAGAUACAUCCCGUUGAGAUCGUCGCAGCAAAUGUUGUGACGUUUCUCGUCUUGAAUGUCACAACCACAAGACUUGCUCACAACACAGCCACAGACGGCGCUCCAAUCCCCAGCGUCUCCGUCACCACUGUUUAUGCAGCCACAGUCCUGACCAUGCAACUUCUUCACCAACGAGUCUACAGGCAACUGCUCCUUCACUAACGAGUCUAUUCCUCCUUUCGCUUGAGACACCAUUUUAUCAAAUUGAUCUGUUUGUCCUUCCACUUGCAAUACACUUUCAUCUUACUCCCCAUCCUGUUAAUUUGUUCACGCAUUGCGUCAAUUUCUUCCUGUAUCUUGCCAAUGAGCUCAUAAAUCUCCGGUUUAAUUUCAAAUAAGUAAGUUUCUGGAUCUUCGUCUUCAUCUAUCAAGGCUUGCCGGAGACGAGCUGUAAGCACCUCCUUGGUACCACCAAUUAUCUCAUAUCGGUAACGAAGUUCCUUCCUAAGCUCUUUAACUGAGAGUUGGUCUAAUUGUUUCAAAGCUGCCAUUGUAAAUCCUACCUCCUCUCGUUGUCUUCUAUAAUCCCACUUCUGACACCUAUGUAAUAACUGAAGGGAGACAAACUCAGACAUAGGUGUUUAUUUACAGGACAUCACAAAUACAAGUAGAACAACAUGUCUUGAGCACAGCAUCUCUCCCUUUGGGCGGAAAUCGUUCUCUCCCUCUAAUGUCAACAUCCGACAUAGUCUUGUCACUAAUAGUGCGAACCUUCUUUCUGCGCUACCCUGGAUUGCGGUGCGCAUGGCAGAGUUAUAACAAUAUGUUAUAUAGGUUAGGAUUGACAAAAAUAGCCUGUACUUCUUUUAACUACGGUACUUUACAAAACAACGCCUUGAUCCAACUUUCUAAAACAUUAUCACAUUUUUUGUUGUGUUAAAAAGUCCCCAUGUCUAGUCUAGAUAUAGUAUAUAUAAGUGUAUGGUCUGAAUCUAUUGGACUAUCACCAACUAGAAUCUGUAUUUUAAUGUUGACCUAUAAUAAGGCUUGUCUUGGAGUCUGAAGAUCAAUGGGGAAUGCAGUAUUUCCAGUGGCUACGCAGCCCCAGUUGUGACCUACAUAUAUAUUGCCACACCCAGUCAAGCAUAAUCAUUGUCCACCGAUGGUCGAUUAAGAUUUUCUUUUCGCCGUCUGCGUUUGUCCCUUGGCAGCGGAUUUUCUUUUGGUCUCAAUUGUGUUUCCCGCGGCCUUUGUGAGUAACCUCCCGCUGUCUCGUUCUGAAGCCGCAUGCAUCCAGGUGCUCUCUUCUAUGUCAGUAAAAGCAAAUCGGAGCCUAAGCUGGUCUUUAAAGCGUUUCCGUGGGGUACAUCUCUAUCACUUAACAUUAUCUCUAUCACUUAACAUUAUCUCUAUCACUUAACAUUAUCUCUAUCACUAUCAUUAGGCCUACGAUACAAACAUCUGCAUUAAAAAAAAUAGUCUUCUGCUGUUAUAGAAACGUCAGUUUAAAGUAAAAACAUAUUUUGAGAACAUCAA